AAACCGGCUCUUUUAAGAGCCAACAAAUGUAUGAAAGAAUUGAACU
Molecule: non-coding RNA, 46 nt
Filed under: Paramuricea clavata
Lineage: Eukaryota; Metazoa; Cnidaria; Anthozoa; Malacalcyonacea; Plexauridae
Rfam family: Histone 3' UTR stem-loop
About the family: The mRNAs of metazoan histone genes lack a poly-A tail. 3' end processing occurs at a site between a highly conserved stem-loop (modelled by this family) and a purine rich region around 20 nts downstream (the histone downstream element, or HDE).
Source: RNAcentral